GGAGAGUUGGCAGAGUGGUCGAAUGCGGUAGUCUUGAAAACUAUUGUGCCGCAAGGUACCGGGGGUUCGAAUCCCUCACUCUCCG
RNAcentral lists this transfer RNA (85 nucleotides) under Crocinitomicaceae bacterium. RNAcentral describes it as "tRNA-Ser". It matches the Rfam family "tRNA". Rfam says of the family: Transfer RNA (tRNA) molecules are approximately 80 nucleotides in length. Their secondary structure includes four short double-helical elements and three loops (D, anti-codon, and T loops). The record is from RNAcentral. RNAcentral also lists the same sequence under 1 other name. Lineage: Bacteria; Pseudomonadati; Bacteroidota; Flavobacteriia; Flavobacteriales; Crocinitomicaceae.